ACGAACGCUGGCGGCGUGCUUAACACAUGCAAGUCGAACGGAAAGGCCCCUUUGGGGGUACUCGAGUGGCGAACGGGUGAGUAACACGUGAGUAACCUGCCCUUGACUUCGGGAUAACUUCAGGAAACUGGGGCUAAUACCGGAUAGGAAUCCUUGCUGCAUGGUGGGGGUUGGAAAGCUUCGGCGGUUUUGGAUGGACUCGCGGCUUAUCAGCUUGUUGGUGGGGUAGUGGCUUACCAAGGCUUUGACGGGUAGCCGGCCUGAGAGGGCGACCGGCCACAUUGGGACUGAGGUACGGCCCAGACUCCUACGGGAGGCAGCAGUGGGGAAUAUUGCACAAUGGGCGGAAGCCUGAUGCAGCAACGCCGCGGGCGGGAUGACGGCCUUCGGGUUGUAAACCGCUUUCAGCAGGGGCGAAGCUUGUGGUGACGGUACCUGCAGAAGAAGCACCGGCUAACUACGUG
Molecule: ribosomal RNA, 464 nt
Filed under: uncultured bacterium
Lineage: Bacteria
Description: partial 16S ribosomal RNA
Rfam family: Bacterial small subunit ribosomal RNA
Source: RNAcentral